UCUCCAAACUGAAGGAGCGAGAUGGAGAAAUCUUUCAAAGCAUCAGAGUGUCGUGAUGAAGAGAAAGAUGAUGUAGCGACCAAAGAGCCUGAUUAUAAGUAUAACUCACAAUCAUCGAAUCAAUGAUCUACCAAAAGUCCAGUUUAGAGCCUGGAGCACUGCUCUGGCUUGUUCUUCAACUUGAAGUAUUUUGAGGAUCUGCUUCAUUGGCGGAAACCUUGAUGAAGCUGAUAAUUACCUCAGUGGUUUCACCUCCGUUGAUGACAACCCUUUCUCAACUCUUCUCUUUUUUUGAGAUUAGAUCGAUGCUGAAAUCUGAUCAGCUUCAUAUAGACGUGUUGCCAGAGGUGACAGAUUUUAUUGCCAUAGUCGGGAACGGUGUAGGUGGAUGCACAAGAUCUGAAAAACCCGAAAUUCACUGCGGCAGUGUGGUACACAAUCUUGUCUUUUCCGAUCCAACUAAAUAUAUAGUUGAGACAAAAAAAAAAAGGGGCAAAUAUAUGACCACCUAUUUUAUAGUCAAAAUUAUACUCUGAAUGUUAUCCAUUAGAUUAGAUAUCCAUUAGUGGCUGAGAUUAAAGACAAUUUAUUAGCUCUUCUUAAAUAAAUGAAAUAUAUAAUACCAAAUCAGAAAAUCAUGCAUUAAUAUUUUUAGUUGUCUCUGUUUCAUUCUUUAUAUUCUUCCUAAUUAAAAAUCAUUCAUAGCUAUCCCAUUUUGGAAUAUAAAAUCAUUCCCUUGUUUAUCUUCUUUUGUUCAUUAUCACAUAUUGUUAAUGAUGAAGUUCUUCACCUUAUGAUUAUCUUCUUUUGUUCAUUAUCACAUAUUGCAAAUGGUGUAGCUAAUAGAUUAGCUCAUCUUUCUAGUUCAAAUCUUCUUAAUGAUGUAUGGUUAGAGGAGGCUCAUGUUAUUAUUCAGGAUGUCCUCUAUGAGGAUUUCUGUAAUUGCACUCGAGGUCAAGGCCCUAUGUCCCCCUCGAUGCAUAAUUUUAAUUCAAUAAGUCAGGCGUGGGGAUGAGCCUCUCAGCUUGGAUGGGUUCCAAACCCCUUUCAAAAAAAAGAA
This is a long non-coding RNA of Rosa rugosa (rugosa rose), 1060 nucleotides long. RefSeq lists it as uncharacterized. The transcript has 2 exons. The record is from RefSeq and is a predicted model, not a curated record. NCBI's taxonomy places the organism in Eukaryota, Viridiplantae, Streptophyta, Magnoliopsida, Rosales, Rosaceae.